Molecule: long non-coding RNA, 3490 nt
Organism: Piliocolobus tephrosceles (Ugandan red Colobus)
Lineage: Eukaryota; Metazoa; Chordata; Mammalia; Primates; Cercopithecidae
Source: Ensembl
GAAAUACAGUUAGAUUAUAGUAUACCUAGUGAGCUAAUCAAUUUAAAUAGCUCUCUAAAAUAUACCAACAUAACUAUCGGACAAGAUGCAUUUUUGUGUAUAUUAAAUAAAGAGAAUGCUGAUAAUCCAAAUGAGCUGACAUGUAAGGAAGAGUAUAACAUUUUUAAAAAUUUAAAUACUAAUGAUAUUAAUAAUUAUUUAGAAGAAAAAUUAAAUACAAACUAUAUUUUAAAAUAUGAAAAAGAUAACAUAAGUUAUAAAUUGUUGUUAUACGAUGAGGGGAUAGUAAGUAGCAACACCGGUACCGGUACUACUACUGACCGCAUUAAUGGUCCCGAUUGGAUCCACAAGAACAACAGAAAAUACAACAAAAAUGAAAUAAACAAAAUAUUUACUUGUAAUUUUGAAAAGCUAUAUGACUAUAUAUUUUAUAAACAUAAAUUUAAUGUAUACCAUAAGAAUAGAUUAUAUAAAAAUAUAAAUGAAGAAUCACAAUUAAAAGAACAUAUUAUUAAAGGAAAAAUGAUGACUAUAAAUAAUGUAUGUGUUGAUUAUUUUUAUUAUAAUGAAAAUAUAUUAAAAAUAUGUUUAAAUAAAUUUAUAUCAUUUAUUACAAAUAAUUAUUCUCCAUUCAAUAAGUUCAGUAAUAAAAAAAAAAAAAAAAAAAAAGUUUUAUCCAUUUCUAAUUAUAUAAACGGUUUAGAUUUAUUAUUUUCUAAUAAUACUAUUGUACAAUAUUAUACAGAUAAUUUUAAUUUUUUUGAAGUAUUAUACAUAUGUGGUAAUAAUAAUUUAAGAAUAAAUAGUUUUGAAUUACUAGAUAGGAAUUACUAUCCUCUAUUUUUUCAAAUAUAUUUAUACACCAACUUAAACAUAACCAAACUUUAUAAUAUUAUUUUAAAUAAAAUAAAAUAUAAUGAAACUUAUUUUUUUAAAACUUUCUCUAUGUAUACAUAUAAUGAUAAUUAUUAUACAGCACUAAAAAAUAAAUUGAAUGAAAAUAUCAAUGCCUAUUACCCAAAUGUAAAAAAUAUAUACCGUAUUACUUUAAGUGCUUAUUUAUUUUGUGACUACACUAAUAAAAUAAACCCACCCAAUCAUUAUUUAGUUAAAAAUUUAAUGAAUAAAUGUUUUAAUUUUAUAAAAGAUGAUGAUUAUAUUUAUGAAAUAUGUUUACCUUAUAGUGUUGUGAAAUAUAAAAAAGAUGAAUAUGGAAAAAUAAAAUAUCCAAUUGUUUCAUUAGGUUCUUCAUAUGUUUCUAAUAAUGAAGGAAUUCCAUUUUAUGAAAAAACAUAUGACAUUUUCCCAGUAACCAAAAUGGAAUUUAUGAUGAAAAAAAAUGUAGAAAAUCUUUUAAAAAAAAAAAAAAAAGAAAUACUAAAAAGUAAUAAUUUUUUUGCACAACAUCAACAUAUGAACAAAAAUGACAAUAUUUCAAAUACAAGUAGUAAUGGUAGUAGUGGCAACACUAAUAAUAAUAUCCAAAAAAGUUAUUUUAAUAUGCCUCACGAAUAUCCGCCAGUUUCAUCUCAUCUGCAACUUUCUUCACAGACGCUGGUCGGUGCAAAUGCAGUUGCAGACACAGGUACUGACCAAGGUAAGGGUACAGGUACUACCACCGGUAGUGGUACUUCUACUGCCACAGAUAGUGGUACUUCUACUGUCACAGGUAGUGGUACUUCUACUGCCACAGGUAGUGGUACUUCUACAAAUAUGAGUAUUGGUACUGCCACAAGUACUGGUACCGGAAACAGUAACACUCAAAACAGUAGCACCCAAAACAGUAGCACCCAAAACAGUAGCACCCAAAACAAUAACACCACUGUAGAUACAAACAACUUAAACACCAUUUUUGGCUCAAUCCCAAUUUCUACGCCUGGCUCCAAUGAAUUUCCAGAUACACCCAAUUUGCCAUACCUACCCAACAUAUUUACUUCGUUAAACCUAUUACAAAACUCAUCAUUUAUGAAUUUAUAUCUUUCUUACUUCUCAUUUUCUGUUAACCGAAUACCUUACAUGAGUGUAUACAUGAUGGAUAAACCAGAAGGACUAUUAAAAGUCGGUCCAUAUAAAUUUUAUAAAGUUUUAGCAUUCGACUUAAAAGGUGGGAAAUGUAAAGAUUCAUUAAAUCAAUUGUAUUAUUAUAUAACGACUAUUUAUUUUGAUUGUUCUUUGCAUCAUAAAAAUGAAACGCAUACAAGUAUCCUUAAUGUUUUCCAAACAACAGAAUGUCAUUAUUAUGUUCAUAUUUCAUCUCCUUUUUUAUGUGCACAUCCAACAUUACAUACCCCAGUCAAGCCUGAUAAGAAAGUUAUAAAAUGCUUUAAAAAUUUAUAUGCUGCUAGUUCCCAAUUUCAAGCAUAUUCUUCUGAAAAUAGUGUAUAUCAUUCCUUGUUUGAUCAAACUGAAAAAUCAUUAGAACAAAUGGAACAACACGAAGAAGAAGAAGAAGAAGAAGAAGAAGAAGAAAAUGAUAGUAACAUAUUCAAAGAACAAAUAAGACAUCCUUUUCAAACUGGAAACAAAAGUAACUACUACUAUAAUAUGGAAAAACAUAGUAACACACAUAGCUAUAAUAUUGGUGACAAUGAGAAUGAUUAUAUGUACAGUAUGGAAGAUGAUCAAUACAUAAGUAUAGAAGAUAAAUUAUAUUUAUACGAAUUUUAUAAAUUAAAACCUAAAAUACUUAAAAACAAAAACAUGUUCGCAUUUGAAGCAGUACCCAAUUAUAAAAAAAUUGAAUUUAGUAAGAUUUAUGAUUUUGGUUUAGGUAACUACAUAAGAAAAAGAGUAUAUAAGAAUAAUCCUGUCUUUCAUGUUGGUAAUGUAGUAAGGCAUAAGUAUUGGAACUAUGAAGCUGUUGUAGUUAGUUGGGAUUAUAAAUGCUUUGCUCCAGUUGAUUGGAAAAAUAAGUUUUUUUCUGAACAUUCAUCUGAAUUGCAAAACAAAGUUCACUAUCUUAUCUUAAUUAAUAAUGAAAAUAGUAAUAAUAGCGGCGUCGACAGUCGCAAUAAAACACACAAAAAAACGCAAAACAAAUCAUACAAAAAAAGGCAUAACGAAACAAGUAAUUACUCAAGCACAAAAGACGAACAUAACUACAUACAUGAAUAUAUUAUAAAAAAUAGUAAUAGUAAUAACAAAAAUGUAAAACAACAUUUGUAUAAAACAAACAAUGAAGAAGGUAUUUAUGAUGAAAUAAAUACUGAUGAGGUAAAAAAUACGGACGAUGAAAACUUUUAUGCUGAAGAACCAGAGUCGAGUUUGGUUUAUGGUGAUAAAAUGGUUUACAAUGAAUAUUUACCACACUUUUUUGAAAAAUAUAACGACUUCUUUCAUUUUUACAUUCCUAAAAAAAAUCACAUUGUUUGGAAAUUGUUUCCAUAUGAUUUGUUUAAUUUGAUUUUUUAAUAUGAAUUCAUACACCAAUUCAUUUUGUAAAGGAAAAAAAAAAAAAAAAAAAAAAUAAAAAAAUAGCUACUACAUAGCA